AUGAUGAUGAUGAUGAUGAUGAUGAUGAAUUGAUGAUUAUACUAAUGACUCAUGGUCGAUGAAGACUUUACAGAGCAUUAAGCUCAUAGUUUUGCAAUAAGACGAUGAUGGUAUACGAGCGUGAAACUCAACCGGUAUGGCUUCCGACUGCGAGAAAGUGUUUUAAUCUUCUCCAACAAUGUCACCGCCACGGCAGAUUCUCACUUCUUCAGAUUCAUGCUUUCAUGCUCCGCCACGCCAUAGAGACCAACGUUCAAAUCUUCACCAAGUUCUUGGUUUGUUCUUCGUCUGUUGUUGGGAUUACUUAUGCCCGUAAGUUGUUCGAUCAAAGGCCUCACAGAGAAGACAGUUUCCUGUGUAACUCCAUGAUCAAGGCCUAUCUUGAAACUCGUCAUUACACUGAUUCGUUUGCUCUUUACAGAGAUCUUAGAAAGGAAGAUACUUGUUUUGCUCCUGAUAAUUUUACUUUCACGACUUUGACAAAGUCGUGUACUUUGAGUUUGUGUGUUAACCAAGGUUUACAGUUGCAUAGCCAGAUUUGGAGAUCUGGGUUUUGUGCAGAUAUGUAUGUUUCGACUGGAGUUGUUGAUAUGUAUGCCAAAUUUGGGAGGAUGGGGUGUGCGAGGAAUGUGUUCGAUGAAAUGCCUCAGAGAAGUGAGGUUUCUUGGACGGCUCUAAUCUGUGGGUAUGUUAGGUGUGGAGAGCUGGAUUUGGCGAGUAAGCUCUUUGAUGAGAUGCCUCAAGUCAAGGACGUUGUGAUAUAUAACGCAAUGAUGGAUGGUUACGUUAAGUCUGGAGAUAUGACCUCUGCCAGAAGAUUGUUUGAUGAGAUGACUCAUAGAACUGUUAUCACGUGGACCACUAUGAUACAUGGUUACUGCAACAACAAUGACAUAGAAUCUGCGAGGCUUUUGUUUGAUGCUAUGCCAGAAAGGAACUUAGUUUCUUGGAAUACAAUGAUAGGAGGAUACUGUCAGAAUCAAAAACCUCUUGAAGCUGUAAGAUUGUUUCAAGAAAUGCAGGCAACCACCUCUCUAGAUCCGGAUGAUGUGACUAUUGUGUGUGUGCUACCAGCUAUUUCUGACAUGGGUGCUCUCAGUCUGGGUGAAUGGUGUCACCAUUUUGUGCAGAGGAAAAAGCUCGAUAAGAAGGUGAAAGUGUGUACUGCAGUUCUUGAUAUGUACUCGAAAUGUGGGGAGAUAGAGAAGGCGAAAAGAAUGUUUGAUGAGAUGCCAGAGAAAGAAGUAGCCUCUUGGAAUGCUAUGAUACAUGGGUAUGCUUUGAAUGGGAAUGCACGUGCAGCUUUGGAUCUAUUCUUGGCAAUGCUGAAAGAAGUAAAGCCAGAUGAGGUCACAGUGCUUGCAGUUCUCUCAGCUUGUAACCAUGGCGGAUUAGUGGAGGAAGGAAGAAAGUGGUUCCACGUGAUGAGAGAAGAAUUUGGCCUGAAUGCUAAAAUUGAGCACUAUGGCUGUAUGGUUGAUAUACUAGGCAGAGCAGGGAACCUAGACGAAGCAGAGGAUUUGAUUACAAACAUGCCUUUUGAGCCAAACGGUAUAAUUCUAAGCUCUUUCUUGUCUGCAUGUGGUCAAUACAAGGAUAUAGAAAGGGCUGAGAGAAUUCUGAAGAAGGCAGUCGAAUUGGAGCCACAGAAUGAUGGGAAUUAUGUUCUGUUGAGGAACUUGUACGCUGCAGAUAAAAGAUGGGAUGAUUUCGGGAUGGUGAAAAACAUGAUGAGGAAGAACGAAGCCAAGAAAGAGGUUGGUUGUAGCUUGAUUGAGAUAAAUUAUAUCGUUUCUGAGUUUAUAUCAGGAGAUACAGCCCAUCCUCAUCGGCGAAGCAUACAUAUGGUUCUCGAGAAGCUGCUUAUGCACAUGAAAGAGGAGGAAGCCAACUGGUGAGAGUAACUCACAGUUUCAUAUUAGUUCAUCACAUGCUACUCAAUAUGAAAUACUUGGGGGCAAUAAGAGUUAGUUGUGUCAUUCUAAGAGAGGGAACCUCCAUGUUCAGACCAAUGGACUCAGAGAGCAAGGCACACACACAGAUCAAAGGUCUCCACGAACAAGUUAGAUUCUGCUUAAUGCAAGUCAUCAUCCGAGGAAUCAAUUACUCUUCUCGUGUUCCUCUGCAGUGGAAACUUUAAAAAGCUCCAUACUCAGUUCUUUGUUUGGUAUGUCUCUGCAGUGCAAUGAAACAGCUCCACUAGCUCUUGGAACAAAGAUAUUAGCAUCAGAAGCUUUGGCUCAUGAAUGGGAUAGCAAGACUGAAUCAAAGAUAUACUUCAGUGAUAUAUGCAUCUUUUCCUGGUAUGAGGCCAUUGGUAACUUCCUAUCCCAUUUAUACAGCAACAUUAAACACCUGCUUUACUUGGGAAAGUGAGCAAAACAAUGGCGUGAUGGAGACUGGAUGUGCACACAUUGCAAGAAUCGCAAUGAUGCAUCAUCUCGAUCAGAGUGCAAUGUAAUAGGUGCAAGACUAAAGGAGAUACUAUUGAAUCAAGAGAUAACUCCAACACUACAAUCUUGAAGAAUCAGAUAAAGAAUGUUCUUCUAUACACUCUGGUUUCAUAAAUCCUCCCAAGUGAUGAGUGUGAUCACUCUCUCUCUUACAGCCUUUGAACCUCUGUUUCUUUUCUUGCUUUUUAAAAUUUCCUGUUUCGGUUUCAAUGUUUCCUUGUUUAAUCCGACAACCUAUCUUCUUAAGUUAUAGGAUCGAAAUGUAGAAACAUCAUUGAAAACCAUUUUGUUUUGCCGCAAAAAGACUUAGCUACUAGUUUUUCUGCAACAAAUAAGUAUAUAAUGAUACUACAA
Molecule: RNA transcript, 2807 nt
Organism: Camelina sativa (false flax)
Lineage: Eukaryota; Viridiplantae; Streptophyta; Magnoliopsida; Brassicales; Brassicaceae
Gene name: pentatricopeptide repeat-containing protein At2g44880 pseudogene
Source: RefSeq, a predicted model, not a curated record